This 254-nucleotide ribosomal RNA is filed under the name uncultured bacterium. Its description in RNAcentral is "partial 16S ribosomal RNA". It matches the Rfam family "Bacterial small subunit ribosomal RNA", at positions 524 to 776 of the family's 1533-position model. The record is from RNAcentral.
UACGAAGGGGGCUAGCGUUGUUCGGAAUUACUGGGCGUAAAGCGCGCGUAGGCGGUUUUGCAAGUCAGAGGUGAAAUGCCUGAGCUCAACUUAGGAAUUGCCUUUGGGACUGCGAGGCUUUGAGGACGGGAGAGGUGAGUGGAAUUCCCAGUGUAGAGGUGAAAUUCGUAGAUAUUGGGAAGAACACCGGUGGCGAAGGCGGCUCACUGGCCCGUUUCUGACGCUGCAGCGCGAAAGCGUGGGGAUCAAACAGG